CACAAUAAAAUAUGAAGGCUGUACGCGGCUGUGCUCUCGGGCCAGUUUUGCGGAGGCUGAAUUAUUUAUUACCCUUAUCUUUUGCGCACUUGUUGUUUCCUGGGCGGGUUCGCCCGCCACCAGGACCACAUCAUAAACCUUUUUUAUGCAGUUGCAAUCAGCGUCAGUAUAACAAAUGUAAAUCAUUUA
This 189-nucleotide unclassified non-coding RNA is filed under the name soil metagenome. RNAcentral describes it as "partial internal transcribed spacer 1". The record is from RNAcentral.